RNAcentral lists this long non-coding RNA (1164 nucleotides) under Anas platyrhynchos platyrhynchos (common mallard). Its description in RNAcentral is "lncRNA (ENSAPLG00000030786.1)". The record is from RNAcentral. Lineage: Eukaryota; Metazoa; Chordata; Aves; Anseriformes; Anatidae.
UUAAUAGGCUCUUCCUUCAUCAGUCAACAGUUUCCUCAGGGCUGCCAGGACUCUGAGGUCACAGACAAGCCUUAGUGGUGCAACCAGACUCAGCUGUACCUGUCCAUGACAUCUGGUGACCUGAAUCCCAGCUUGCAGACUGACUUCCUGACUUGAACUUGGACCUGACUCAUCCUCAUGCAUUUCCUUGGUGAUCCAGGCUCUUGUCUGGACCUGUCCACCAUCUCUUUGUCUGCACAGAGCAGACCCUUGCUGUUCCCUCACUCUGGCUGAGGGCAGUAUUUUGGCACGAAAGUGCUGUACCUCUGCGAGCUCAUGUCUACUGCCCUUAGGCAUGGUUUGCUUCAUCCACACCUAGUGUGACACAGCAUUGAAAACUAAUGAACAUAUGUCACCUGAUACAAGCCAAAAUAUGGCUCAUUGGUCUAGUGUGAACAAGCUGGGGGAAAAGGAGAAGUCUAGGGAGACAGGACCAGGAAAUCAGACAGAAAAAAUUGCCAGUGAUUCCAGGAUGUUCCCAUCUGCUGUGAUGACAACAAGGAAGAUCCACCUGCUAUCAUUUUUGUGGAAACAGCUACCAACUACUGCUUCCCAACAGAGAGUGAUAUGUAGUCUCAUGUAUAGUUUUGUCUGCCACACAAAUUCCAGAUCAACAGGCUUUGUGCUGAGGUCCUUGCAUCACACUGGGGAUUCAGCUGUUGGAGUCUCCUUCCCACUUUUCCUCUGUAGCCUCUGACAGAGCUCUCUACAAACCUCCUCUGUGCGUACUUGAAUAACAGAUGUGGCACAUACUCACAUCCCUGCACAGAUGUUCUUGAAGCAUUUCUGAGCACUGCUUCCACCUUGGGACUUCUUCGGCCAUUUUUAUUUAUGAAACAGAAUUGAGACUGUGUCUCUAGCCCACUUUUCUCUAAUAUGAUCAGGAAAAAAAAUAAUCAUUUUUUCUACUCUCCCUACUAUUAGGAUACUCUGGUGCUGGCCUGGAAGGAGUUCAGAGCUGGCAUUAUAGUUUUCCUUUUGAAGAGCCUUCACAACUGAAACUUAGGACAUCUCUGCUUUGUUGUUUAUUUGUUUUGUUUUGUUUGGAAACUUUACAGGGAAUAGACAUUGUGCUCUGUGAGAGCUGCCCCUAUACUUUCUGUAGCACACUGUUUUUACGUCAUU